UCUACAAGUAUCUACUCGAGAUCAGUUUGGAACAGUCUUCUUUAAUCUAAAUUUUGAUUCUCCAAAAUUCAGCCUGUUGAAGCUGAAUGAAGCCAGGAUCGCGAUCAACACUUGAUCUUUCUCCUUGAUCUUCUUCUUCUCUUUUUCUCUAGAUUUUUCUCCUACUAUAUGCUAUUAUAAAAUACCAACAACCAGCCAAGAGGGAAUGCCCAACACCUUGGGCAUGUGGGGCUUUGGGACAUCCCAAAGGAUUGGGACGUGUGGGACGCCCAAAGGGAGAUGGGAGAGGGAGAGAAAGAUAAGGCUUAGGG
This 311-nucleotide long non-coding RNA is filed under the name Elaeis guineensis (African oil palm). RNAcentral describes it as "long non-coding RNA (EGUI_LNC069513)". Lineage: Eukaryota; Viridiplantae; Streptophyta; Magnoliopsida; Arecales; Arecaceae. The record is from RNAcentral.